RNAcentral lists this ribosomal RNA (484 nucleotides) under uncultured bacterium. RNAcentral's name for it is "partial 16S ribosomal RNA". It matches the Rfam family "Bacterial small subunit ribosomal RNA", at positions 28 to 507 of the family's 1533-position model. The record is from RNAcentral.
AUUGAACGCUGGCGGCAUGCUUUACACAUGCGAGUCGAACGGCAGCGCGGGCUUCGGCCUGGCGGCGAGUGGCGAACGGGUGAGUAAUGCAUCGGAACGUGCCCAGUAGUGGGGGAUAGCCCGGCGAAAGCCGGAUUAAUACCGCAUACGACCUGAGGGUGAAAGCGGGGGACCGAAAGGCCUCGCGCUAUUGGAGCGGCCGAUGUCGGAUUAGCUAGUUGGUGGGGUAAAGGCUUACCAAGGCGACGAUCCGUAGCUGGUCUGAGAGGACGACCAGCCACACUGGGACUGAGACACGGCCCAGACUCCUACGGGAGGCAGCAGUGGGGAAUGUUGGACAAUGGGGGCAACCCUGAUCCAGCCAUGCCGCGUGCGGGAAGAAGGCCUUCGGGUUGUAAACCGCUUUUGUUCGGGAAGAACUCCUCUGGGCUAAUACCCCGGGGGGAUGACGGUACCGGAAGAAUAAGCACCGGCUAACUACGUG